AUUGAACGCUGGCGGCAGGCUUAACACAUGCAAGUCGAGCGGAGCGGCGGACGGGUGAGUAAUGCUUAGGAAUCUGCCUAUUAGUGGGGGACAACAUCCCGAAAGGGAUGCUAAUACCGCAUACUAAUAGAUUAGCCUAAUUCGGUUUAUCUCGUUGGUGGGGUAAAGGCCUACCAAGGCGACGAUCUGUAGCGGGUCUGAGAGGAUGACCCGCCACACUGGGACUGAGACACGGCCCAGACUCCUACGGGAGGCAGCAGUGGGGAAUAUGGGACAAUGGGGGGAACCCUGAUCCAGCCAUGCGGCGUGUGUGAAGAAGGCCUUAUGGUUGUAAAGCACUUUAAGCGAGGAGGCGUGACUCGCAGAAUAAGCAACGGCUAACUCUGUGCCAGCAGCCGCGGUAAUAG
This 407-nucleotide ribosomal RNA is filed under the name uncultured bacterium. RNAcentral's name for it is "partial 16S ribosomal RNA". It matches the Rfam family "Bacterial small subunit ribosomal RNA", at positions 30 to 526 of the family's 1533-position model. The record is from RNAcentral.